CAGCAGCCGCGGUAAUACGAGGGGGGCAAGCGUUGUUCGGAAUAACUGGGCGUAAAGGGCGCGUAGGCGGCCAUUCAAGUUAGAUGUGAAAGCCCUGGGCUCAACCUAGGAAUUGCAUUUGAUACUGUUUGGCUUGAGUUCGGGAGAGGUGAGUGGAAUUCCCAGUGUAGCGGUGAAAUGCGUAGAUAUCGGAAGGAACACCUGUGGCGAAAGCGGCUCACUGGACAAUAACUGACGCUGAUGCACGAAAGCUAGGGGAGCAAACAGGAUUAGAUACCCCCGUAGUCCCUGUCUCUUAUAC
This 301-nucleotide ribosomal RNA is filed under the name uncultured bacterium. RNAcentral's name for it is "partial 16S ribosomal RNA". It matches the Rfam family "Bacterial small subunit ribosomal RNA", at positions 509 to 807 of the family's 1533-position model. The record is from RNAcentral.